Molecule: non-coding RNA, 5546 nt
Organism: Podarcis lilfordi (Lilford's wall lizard)
Lineage: Eukaryota; Metazoa; Chordata; Lepidosauria; Squamata; Lacertidae
Source: the annotation of a GenBank genome assembly
GGAAGGGCCAUGGCUCAGUUGCAGAGUACAUGAGUUGCAUGCAGGAGAUUUCAGGUUCAAUCAUUGGCAUUUUCAGGCAGGACUGGGAAAGACUUCUGCCAGUCAGUGUAGUCAACACAGAGCCAGAUGGACCUAUGGUAAGACUCAGUAUAUAAGGUCAAUUCAUAUUUCUUCCAGCACCCCUUUUGACUUGCGGAGAGCAUCCACGUCCAUAUUAUAAUCUGGAAAAUGACGGGUCGGGAAUUUAAAGCCAUUGGGAAUAUUCUCCAGUUGCAAACAAGGAAAGAAAAAAUACCUUGGUUUGCAGUUAAUAUUUCUGUGGCAAUUUUACCAUGAAUAAUAAGUUGGAGCCACAUCUCCCAAUCUAUAAAGACAGCCAUUUUGACCUGUUAUAUCUUUUUACAAAUAACCUACACAGAAGUAAUAAAUAAUACAGGCACACCGACAUACUUGUAACACCCCUCAUCUCACACCACAGAUUAAUCCCUGAGCACUUGUCUCAGUUCAUCCCAUACUACAUAUUGCAGAGAGCACUUCUUCAGGGACUGUAUGUUACAUCUAAGUGCUGUGCAAUUGGCUGACGUGCCCUAACUUCUGAAGCAGUUUUCUUAUUAAAAAAAGAGCUAAACAUAUAUCAUGUCACAAUGGAUCCAUGUGUACUUAUUAAGGGAUAUCAACCAAAACACAUUUGGCAACAAUUAUAAUUUGGAUAGUAGGUUAUAUUACUGGAGGGAAUAGAACCACUGUGUUGGGAUUUACAAGGGUCUCUGGUAACGAAGAAAGCUGGAACAUAUCAUACUGGAAAGGGGGUUUCUGAGAUCAAGGAGCAGGCUUUUGUCUUCACUUGGAUACAACUGGACGUCAUAGAAUCAUAGAGUUGGAAGAGACCACAAGGGCCAUCGAGUCCAACCCCCUGCCAAGCAGGAAACACCAUCAGAGCACUCCUGACAUAUGGUUGUCAAGCCUCUGCUUAAAGACCUCCAAAGAAGGAGACUCCACCACACUCCUUGGCAGCAAAUUCCACUGUCAAACAGCUCUUACUGUCAGGAAGUUCUUCCUAAUGUUUAGGUGGAAUCUUCUUUCUUGUAGUUUGGAUCCAUUGCUCCAUGUCCGCUUCUCUGGAGCAGCAGAAAACAACCUUUCUCCCUCCUCUAUGUGACAUCCUUUUAUAUAUUUGAACAUGGCAAUCAUAUCACCCCUUAACCUCCUCUUCUCCAGGCUAAACAUGCCCAGCUCCCUUAGCCGUUCCUCAUAAGGCAUCGUUUCCAGGCCUUUGACCAUUUUGGUUGCCCUCCUCUGAACACGUUCCAGUUUGUCAGUGUCCUUCUUGAACUGUGGUGCCCAGAACUGGACACAGUACUCCAGGUGAGGUCUGACCAGAGCAGAAUACAGUGGCACUAUUACUUCCCUUGAUCUAGAUGCUAUACUCUAUUGAUGCAGGCCCAGAAUUGCAUUGGCUUUUUAGCUGCCGCGUCACACUGUUGGCUCAUGUCAAGUUUGUGGUCAACCAAGACUCCUAGAUCCUUUUCACAUGUACUGCUCUCAAGCCAGGUGUCACCCAUCUUGUAUUUGUGCCUCUCAUUUUUUUUUUGCCCAAGUGCAAUACUUUACAUUUCUCCCUGUUCAAAUUCAUCUUGUUUGUUUUGGCCCAGUUCUCUAAUCUGUCAAGGUCGUUUUGAAGUGUGAUCCUGUCCUCUGGGGUGUUAGCCACCCCUCCCAGUUUGGUGUCAUCUGCAAAUUUGAUCAGGAUGCCCUUGAGUCCAUCAUCCAAGUCGUUGAUAAAGAUGUUGAAUAAGACCGGGCCCAAGACAGAACCCUGUGGCACCCCACUAGUCACUCUUCUCCAGGAUGAAGAGGAACAAUUGAUGAGCACCCUUUGGGUUCGGUCAGUCAGCCAGUUACAAAUCCACUGAGUGGUAGCAUAGUCAAGACCGCAUUUUACCAGCUUCUUUACAAGAAUAUCAUGGGGCACCUUGUCAAAUGCCUUGCUGAAAUCAAGGUAGGCUACAUCCACUGCAUUCCCUUCAUCUACCAGGCUUGUAAUUCUGUCAAAAACGAGAUCAGGUUAGUCUGACAUGACUUAUUUUUCAGAAAUCCAUGCUGACUAUUGGUGAUCACAGCAUUCCUUUCUAGGUGCUCACAGACUGUUUGCUUAAUGAUCUGCUCCAGAAUCUUCCCUGGUAUUGAUGUCAGACUGACUGGGCGGUAAUUAUUUGGGUCCUCUCUUUUCCCCUUUUUGAAAAUAGGGACAACAUUUGCCCUCCUCCAGUCUGCCGGGACUUCGCCUGUUCUCCUGGAAUUCUCAAAGAUGACUGCCAGUGGUUCUGAGAUCACAUCUGCCAGUUCUUUUAAUACUCUUGGAUGCAGUUCAUCUGGCCCUGGAGACUUGAAUACAUCUAAACUAGCCAAGUAUUCUUGUACUAUCUCCUUAGUUAUUCUGGGCUGUGUUUCCUCUGUUGAAUCAUUUGCUCCAAAUUCUUCAGGUUGGGCAUUGUUUUCUUUAUCGGAGAAGACUGAGGCAAAGAAGGCAUUGAGGAGUUCAGCCCUUUCUGUGUCCCCUGUUUGCAUUUCACCAUCUUCUCCUCUGAGUGACCCCACUGUUUCUUUGUUCUUCCUUUUGCUACGAACAUACCCAUAAAAGCCAUUUUUGUUGCUUUUAACCUCUCUAGCAAGCCUGAGUUCAUUCUGUGCUUUAGCUUUUCUGACUUUGUGUCUACACGUGCUGGCUAUUUGUUUGAAUUCCUCUUUGGUGGUUUCCCCCACCACGUUUUGAAUCAAAAUGGCAGUCUCAACCAUUCAAAACUGCACUGAUUUAAACCACUGAUUUAAAUUUGUGGGCUUCUUAAAACUCCCUGGCAAUGCUGGGUAUGAGGCUGCUAGUCCUAUAUAUGUUAUGGGAGGCAGCUCCAAGUAUAUGAAGCAGCAAGGAAGAAAGAACAGAGUCAUUUGAGGAAACAGAAGACUUGUAGGCGGCAAAAAGCAAUGGACCUGGAUAGAGAGGAAUGAACCAGGAGAACUGAGUAAGAGCAAGACCCAGAAAGCCUUUUGUGUUUGCUACUGCUACUUACGCAACAUAUUCCAAAGUGACCCAGGGAAGGAACACAGAAAAGAACCACCUACAGCCCUCUAGCUCCAAGCUGGCCAUAGACACGUAAGUCUCAAUAGCCAGCCCUGGAAAAGAAGCCCUCUUAUUUACCAUAGGAGUUAAAUCAUGCCAUCCCUAGAUUCCAUUUUAUUUAAGAAACGCUUCAAAAACCAAUUUCCCCCCUCUAAAUCCUAUAAACAUUGUCCUAGCUCUGCAAGCCGCCAAGCUUGAUCUUAUCAUAGACGGUGAGCUUGUUUUCUUUAGUUUUUCCACACAGCAAUUGAGCAGAGGCGGGUGGCCCAUUCCUUGCCCCUUAUCGUUUGUCAUUUAUACAGCUCUGCAGGGAACCGGGGCUCCUAUCUCACGUAAGACUCCCUUAUAGCUUCUUUCUGCCGCACAACUUUUUCUCCUUUUUUAAAAAAAAGGGGGGGAGAAAAGAAUCUGGAUCCGCAUUCAAAUGACAUUUAUCAAUAGGCAUCUCCUGAGCUUCCACACAGCAACACAAUGGAAGCUUAGCCCCCAUUAAUGGUCCAAGCUGUUGGGUUCAACAUACAAAGAGGUAAUCCAAUCAUUUUGUCCCCAUCUGGAAAGAUUUCCAUUGCCUUUUUCUCCAAAUUUAAAACUAACCAAAAUGUGCAUGCCGUUCCCAGACAGAGGGAAGUGGUACUCAUUACCCAUAGGAAGAAAAAGCUUCAGCACUGAUUUAAAAGAGGUGAGGGGGAGUACAUGGAACCUACAUUUCCUUCGCUGCCACUGCUUGUUGUUAUAAUUUUUGUAUUGAAGGGCUUUCUCUAACUUUAUGACAUCUCCACCAAUAUUGUGGCGCUUUUAUAAAAUCAGAGUUGGAAGUAUACCAUGGUCAGUGCUACAUCUGAGAGUUCAUUCCUGGCAGGUUGUUAUCCAGCCUCUGCUUAAAUACCUCCAAUGAAUGAAAGCCCGUCUGCCUCCACCUUAUCUAAACAGCUCAUACUCUUAGGAAGUGUCUCAUAAUAUUAAGCAAAACUCUGCUUCCCUGAAUUUCAAGCCAGGGGUUAUAACAAGGCUACUAAGGGAUGUGUCUUGAGGAGUUGGCAUGGACUAAGGAGAGUUCCUAGCACCGAAUAGAUAGACCUGGAGGACCACACUUGGUUCCCAGGUCUGAGUUUCCCCACCCACUUUCUCCAAAGUAAACACAGCUGUGUGUGUGUGUGUGUGUGUGUGUGUGUGUGUCUGUUUGUCUCUACCUAAACUAAAACACAAAAUACAAGAAUGUCCCCAAAGGGAAGGUGACUCAACCCACUGCUCACUUCAGUUGCCCUUCUCUGUAUGUUUUCCAAUGGAUGGGCCGUGAUUAGGACAUAAAUAAAGAGAACAGGAGAGAGAUUAAACCAAAUUGAGGCUGAAAUCAUAUGCAUGCUUACUUUUUUAGAGUAAUCCCCACAGAACAGAGUGGGAAUUAUUUCUGUGUAGUGAUGUAGUGCACUGUGAAUAUUUAAUCCAGAACCAGAAAGCUACUUAACACAAGAUCUGCUUUAGCCAGUUAAUGUUUUAGAAACAAUGCUCAAAGAGACACCUUCAGUCUGGCUAUGCCCUCCAACUCUUUUGAUACACUACACUCCCUGCUCAACAAAAAUUACCUUAAUACAAACAUGAUGAGUGCCAUUCUGAGACACUGGCACAGAUUAACUUUUUUUGAAUCCCAGGGUAAUCUUAGCCUUGGAAAUGAUGUCCCGUGGCAGCAUGCCCUAUAAUUUCACUAUGCAUUAUGUAUUAAACGUAUUUCCCUUUCUAACAGCACCUUUAAUUCCAUUAGAAUUAACUUUGCUCUCCUGUUAAGGAGAAAAGGCUGAGUAAAUGUAAUCAGCCCUGUGAACUGUGAUGACAGUUGCAAACCUGCUGUAGUCUGGAACUUGGUGUGGAGAAUGCAGCUUGCUGCUGAAUGAGACACAGUUGCAGGCAGCCUGAGGAAACAUCUUCAAUCUUGAUGCUUGCCACCCCCCAAAAAACCCAAUUCAAUAGCGAAAAAGUCAUCCAUUCCUGCUUUACUCAAAUAUAUGCUGUUGUUUGAAACUACCCCCUUUUUCUUCUCAGUGUAUCUCCAUUCCUGCUUUACUCAGACCUCUCCCUCUUCCACUCCUCAGCUGCCUCAUAUGUGAGAGAGAUUAUUUAUAUAUUAUUUCACUCCUGGCACCAUGAGUUGUCUUCUACAUGAAGUUCAAGAUGCAAUGUAGUAAUUUGGAGCAGGUAUUUUAUUAACAAGCAAACACCUACAUAUGUACAGCAUCCAUCACUUAACCUGCUCUAAGUGAAUAAAGUAACUGGCAGAUUGCUCUUAAGAGUCUAUUUGUGUUAGAGAUACAGUAGCAUAUAUAUGCACAGGUAGGAGGGCUGCAGAAUUGGAGGGAAGGUGAAAGAAGGAAUUUAGAAUCCUAGAAUCUUAGAGCUGGAAGGGAGCUCAAAGGUCAUCGUUCUAGAGCAGUGG